This 473-nucleotide small RNA is filed under the name Pongo abelii (Sumatran orangutan). Its description in RNAcentral is "processed transcript". The record is from RNAcentral. Lineage: Eukaryota; Metazoa; Chordata; Mammalia; Primates; Hominidae.
GACUGCUGUAUCAUCCGCGUCAGCCUGGACGUGGACAACGGCAACAUGUACAAGAGCAUCCUGGUGACCAGCCAAGAUAAGGCUCCAGCCGUAAUCCGCAAGGCCAUGGACAAACACAACCUGGAGGAGGAGGAGCCGGAGGACUAUGAGCUGCUGCAGAUUCUCUCAGAUGACCGGAGUAAGUCAGAAGACCAGAGGGCGAUGGCGGAGGGGGCAGGUCCGCACCACUCCCCUCCCCAGGUUGGAAGGCUUUGGCCCCAGAAAAUUCACCAGCAGAGUGUGGGUAGACACUGUGGACAGGGCAGCCCUGGCUGCCCCCAUUGUCUGCUUGCUGUCCGCAGCCACCACUGGACCUCCCCAGUGUGUGCCCUUCCCUAGGCGUGAACAGGCAGUUCAAAGCUCACAUCAGUGAGGAGCAAAGAGAAAAGGCAUUUUCACUGGGACAGGUUAGCCAGGUGGCCCACUGGAAGGGA